Molecule: long non-coding RNA, 1162 nt
Filed under: Brassica napus (rape)
Lineage: Eukaryota; Viridiplantae; Streptophyta; Magnoliopsida; Brassicales; Brassicaceae
Description: long non-coding RNA (BNAP_LNC018707)
Source: RNAcentral
AAGGUUUUUGACAAAAGUACAAUGGCAAAAAGAAGCAGAGGAAAGAAAAAUAAAACCUAAACAUUAACUCGAUCUAGUCUAAGAUGUAACAUUGUGUCAGGCAGAAACCAAUAUCAAGAGGCCUCAACUAAUACGCACUCACCGCUUGCCGCAAAAAGAGGAGUCACAAUUACAACGAAAGUCAGAACCCGAUAAUUAUGGCCUCCCGGAUGAACCGUUCUUAAAGAGCGGAAGACUUCCUGAAUAUCCGCCAACACGAACAGAAAGUCACCAAGGAGCCAAGCACUAAGAGGCCAAGCACCCGCAUCAACUCGACCAAACAUUUAUUCGGACGUGAACCCACCAAGGAGCCACACGCAAAAGACCUAUACAAAACGGUCUGAAAGCAGCAAAAACUCCACAAUAAGCACUCCAGGUCCAUUUCACACACCGGAAGAACACAUCCAUUUGAAAGCAGAAUGCCUAGCGACUGACUUCAGUGUUCUUUGUCCGAACAUUCCAAGAUUGACGCUAAAAAAAUCAUCAUCUCGGAAUACGUAUUAGAGAUUAAGUCUCCACAUCGGUAGUUAAAAAGAAUCUUUAGUGAUAUAUAAAAUAGACGGACCAAUCUACAUAUCAUCUAUUAGUUUUAGGUUGUAAUCUCAUCUACCUUAAACAUGGACGAUGCAUCGUGCCAGGAAUAUCUGUAUAUGUGGAUUAAAGCCGUAAAUGAUAGAAAGAAUGUCGUAUUAUAAUUCCAAACUACAUUACUUUUCAGUAAAAAGUUCUAUUGAACUGAGUUGCUCAGUUUCAUAGUCAAGAAUCAAGAUCUACAAUUAAGCAUGACACGAAACCAUUUCCCAAAAACAGUGGAACACGUCUGAUGGUUUCUUAUCACGUGGAUAUGGGUUAAUCUAGUAUCCUAUACGCAAAAUGUUGGGUUUUUUUCAGCUUUUGUUAAAUUCAUAAUAUUAUAAAUAUGUGCAUUUAGGUGUCAUGAAAUGAUAUUUGAUUCGGACAAGGGAAUACAAUACCUUUGGAGAGAAGACAAAGGAAAUAUAGCUGUCACAAACACGAGACCUUCUAACAUUUUUAUAUUUUUUUUUUCUUUUUUAUUACAUACAUAAUGUAAUGGAAGAAGAAGAAGAAGAAAUGACAUAUAUUUUCUUUUAUUACAUACAUA